GUGCACUUGAUACUAACCUAGAUAUCUGCUCUGGAUCCUCUCCAGGGUUUAUCCGUGGUAUCUGGGUCCAAGAAGUGCUAUAGUAACUGCCGUAAGCAUUUAAGCUCAGGGUGUGAAGUGACACUGAGUUAUAACUUGCUGUACAGAU
This is a non-coding RNA of Bufo bufo (common toad), 148 nucleotides long. RefSeq annotates it as small Cajal body-specific RNA 1. The transcript has a single exon. NCBI's taxonomy places the organism in Eukaryota, Metazoa, Chordata, Amphibia, Anura, Bufonidae. The record is from RefSeq and is a predicted model, not a curated record.